RNAcentral lists this ribosomal RNA (446 nucleotides) under uncultured bacterium. RNAcentral describes it as "partial 16S ribosomal RNA". It matches the Rfam family "Bacterial small subunit ribosomal RNA", at positions 29 to 523 of the family's 1533-position model. The record is from RNAcentral.
AACGAACGCUGGCGGCAGGCCUAACACAUGCAAGUCGAACGCCCCGCAAGGGGAGUGGCAGACGGGUGAGUAACGCGUGGGAACCUACCUUUCGGUGCGGAAUAACUUCGGGAAACCAAAGCUAAUACCGCAUACGCCCUACGGGGGAAAGAUUUAUCGCCGAUAGAUGGGCCCGCGUCGGAUUAGCUAGUUGGUGAGGUAACGGCUCACCAAGGCUACGAUCCGUAGCUGGGCUGAGAGGAUGAUCAGCCACACUGGGACUGAGACACGGCCCAGACUCCUACGGGAGGCAGCAGUGGGAAUAUUGGACAAUGGGCGCAAGCCUGAUCCAGCCAUGCCGCGUGAGUGAAGAAGGCCUUAGGGUUGUAAAGCUCUUUUAGUGGGGACGAUAAUGACGGUACCCACAGAAUAAGCCCCGGCUAACUUCGUGCCAGCAGCCGCGGUAA